CAAAAAAAAAAAAAAAAAGAAAAAAAGGAAAGAGUCAUCUGGGUUUGGUGACUAGGAGCGUACUGGUGACCUCAGUGAGAGGGGUUUCAGAGGCUUAUGGAGACAGAUGCAGGUUGAAGUGGGUUGUGGAGCGCGGGAGAGGUAGAAAGCAGUAAACACACCCCCCUGCCAACACCGCUCUCAGGAGACUGGUGUGAAGGGUAGGGGUCAGGACGCUAGCUGGAGAAGGAAUAUGGGUUCAAGGGAGAAGGGCUUUUUUCUUUUUAAUAGAAGAGAUCAGCAAUGUGUUUAGAUGCUGAUGGAAGGAGCCAGAAAAAAGGAAAAGGAGAAUAUUGAGGUGAGACGAGAUCUCCAAAUGCCCAGGUGAGAAGACCAGAUGAAAUGGGGCACAGGAGUAGGGCUAGCUUUGGAGAGGGAGGGGAGCCUCCUCCCCUCAUCCCCUGGAAGAGGAAAUGGCCUAUGAGAAGCCGGUGAGUGAAUGGGUUUGGUGGCAGCAAGUUGAGGAAAUGCCCAUCUGAUGGUGCCUAUGCUCUCUGCUGAAAGUGAGGAAGACGGGGUGGAGUUAGAGGUUAAAGAGAGAAUCUAAGGGCCGGGCACUGUGAGGAGGGCAAGGCAGGAUUGGUGGAGCCCAGGAGUUCAAGACCAGCCUGGGCAACAUAGACCCUGUCUCUACAAAAAAAUUAAAAAUUAGCUGGGUGUGGUGAGGUGUGCCUGUGGUCCCAGCUACUCAGGAAGCUGAGGUAGAAGGAUCACUUGAGUGCAGGAUGUUAAGGCUGCAGUGAGCUGGGAUCACGCCACUGCACUCCAGCCUGAGUGACACAGCAAGACUCUGUCUUUAAAAAAAAAAAAAAGUGGCUGGCCUCGGUGGCUCACGCC
RNAcentral lists this long non-coding RNA (876 nucleotides) under Homo sapiens (human). RNAcentral's name for it is "non-protein coding NDUFA6-DT:70". Lineage: Eukaryota; Metazoa; Chordata; Mammalia; Primates; Hominidae. The record is from RNAcentral.